AUCACAAUUGGAGGAAGAAAAUUAAAAUAUUUUACCCCAAAACAUGUUUAUUUGCCAUAUUUUGAAAUAGCCCUACAAAGCUGUUCUUUGUGAGAGAAAGUUUGCAUCUGUAAAGAACCUCUAUUAACAUAACUAGAUCUUUUUCUUCCAGGCCCUCCCAAUUCUGAAGAGAUUAACUGAGAGCCUAGAACUUUUUAAAGGUCUGAAUAGAAAAUCUUUGUUAUCUAUUGU
Long non-coding RNA from Sapajus apella (tufted capuchin), 231 nucleotides. RefSeq lists it as uncharacterized. NCBI's taxonomy places the organism in Eukaryota, Metazoa, Chordata, Mammalia, Primates, Cebidae. The transcript is spliced from 3 exons. The record is from RefSeq and is a predicted model, not a curated record.